Molecule: ribosomal RNA, 253 nt
Filed under: uncultured bacterium
Lineage: Bacteria
Description: partial 16S ribosomal RNA
Rfam family: Bacterial small subunit ribosomal RNA
Source: RNAcentral
UACAGAGGUCCCAAGCGUUGUUCGGAUUCACUGGGCGUAAAGGGUGCGUAGGUGGUGGGGUAAGUCGGAUGUGAAAUCUCCGAGCUCAACUCGGAAAUGGCAUUGGAAACUACCUCGCUGGAGGUUUGGAGGGGGGACUGGAAUUCUCGGUGUAGCAGUGAAAUGCGUAGAUAUCGAGAGGAACACCAGUGGCGAAGGCGAGUCCCUGGACAACACCUGACACUGAGGCACGAAAGCUAGGGGAGCAAACAGG